This 207-nucleotide ribosomal RNA is filed under the name uncultured bacterium. RNAcentral's name for it is "partial 16S ribosomal RNA". It matches the Rfam family "Bacterial small subunit ribosomal RNA", at positions 568 to 774 of the family's 1533-position model. The record is from RNAcentral.
UGCGUAGGUGGCGCGCUAAGUCAGGUGUGAAAUUUCGGAGCUUAACUCCGAAACUGCAUUUGAUACUGGUGUGCUUGAGGACUGGAGAGGAGACUGGAAUUUACGGUGUAGCAGUGAAAUGCGUAGAGAUCGUAAGGAAGACCAGUGGCGAAGGCGGGUCUCUGGACAGUUCCUGACACUGAGGCACAAGGGCCAGGGGAGCAAACG